UGAGUAACACGUAUCCAACCUGCCGUCUACUCUUGGCCAGCCUUCUGAAAGGAAGAUUAAUCCAGGAUGGCAUCAUGAGUUCACAUGUUCACAUGAUUAAAGGUAUUCCGGUAGACGAUGGGGAUGCGUUCCAUUAGAUAGUAGGCGGGGUAACGGCCCACCUAGUCUUCGAUGGAUAGGGGUUCUGAGAGGAAGGUCCCCCACAUUGGAACUGAGACACGGUCCAA
Molecule: ribosomal RNA, 227 nt
Filed under: uncultured bacterium
Lineage: Bacteria
Description: partial 16S ribosomal RNA
Rfam family: Bacterial small subunit ribosomal RNA
Source: RNAcentral